GAUGAACGCUGGCGGCGUGCCUAAUACAUGCAAGUCGAGCGAACAGAUGAGGAGCUUGCUCCUCUGACGUUAGCGGCGGACGGGUGAGUAACACGUGGAUAACCUACCUAUAAGACUGGGAUAACUUCGGGAAACCGGAGCUAAUACCGGAUAAUAUAUUGAACCGCAUGGUUCAAUAGUGAAAGACGGUUUUGCUGUCACUUAUAGAUGGAUCCGCGCCGCAUUAGCUAGUUGGUAAGGUAACGGCUUACCAAGGCAACGAUGCGUAGCCGACCUGAGAGGGGGAUCGGCCACACUGGAACUGAGACACGGUCCAGACUCCGACGGGAGGCAGCAGUAGGGAAUCUUCCGCAAUGGGCGAAAGCCUGACGGAGCAACGCCGCGUGAGUGAUGAAGGUCUUCGGAUCGUAAAACUCUGUUAUUAGGGAAGAACAAAUGUGUAAGUAACUAUGCACGUCUUGACGGUACCUAAUCAGAAAGCCACGGCUAACUACGU
RNAcentral lists this ribosomal RNA (496 nucleotides) under uncultured bacterium. Its description in RNAcentral is "partial 16S ribosomal RNA". It matches the Rfam family "Bacterial small subunit ribosomal RNA", at positions 28 to 506 of the family's 1533-position model. The record is from RNAcentral.